This 603-nucleotide long non-coding RNA is filed under the name Homo sapiens (human). Its description in RNAcentral is "novel transcript". The record is from RNAcentral. Lineage: Eukaryota; Metazoa; Chordata; Mammalia; Primates; Hominidae.
CAUGUUAGCCAGGAUGGUCUUGAUUUUCUGACCUUGUAAUCCGGCUGCCUCAGCCUCCCAAAGUGCUGGGAUUACAAGCGUGAGCCACUGCGCCCGGCCUAGUUGAGGAGUAAAUGGACUGGAUUAAAGUUAAACCAUAACCCCAAAUUCAGGUUCUUACUAAACCUCUUCAAAGAAAUGGCAGCAUGAUGAGCUUUGAAAAUGUGAAAGAAAAGAGCAGAGAAGGAGGGCCCCAUGCACACACACCCGAAGAAGAAUUGUGUUUCGUGGUAACACACUACCCUCAGGUUCAGACCACACUCAACCUGUUUUUCCAUAUAUUCAAGGUUCUUACUCAACCACUUUCCCUUCUGUGGGGUUGUGAUCAGAAGCCUCGUACUGUUCCUACCCUUGGAAACGGCGCAUGGGAUACCUGCCAACAACACAUACGCACUUCAUCAUGGACAGCAAACACACUCGUCAUUCAAAACCAGCAUUCACGGGAAAGCACUGUUUCUGUUUGCCUUUUUAUGUUAAUCCGCAUGCAACAUAUUUUGAAAACAGAUACACUUCAACAGUUCAGAAUAUGCUAGUACUAAUAAAACCAACAUGUUACAUGCUGAA